CGCGGCCUAUCAGCUUGUUGGUGAGGUAACGGCUCACCAAGGCGACGAUGGGUAGCUGGUCUGAGAGGAUGAUCAGCCACAUUGGAACUGAGACACUGCCCAAACUCCUACGGGAGGCUGCAGUCGAGAAUAUUUCGCAAUGGGGGAAACCCUGACGAUGCGACGCCGCGUGGGGGAUGAAGGCCUUCGGGUUGUAAACCUCUGUGUUACGGGAUGAAUUGAGCGUUGCUGAUAACGCAGCGUUUUUGACGUUACCGUAGUAGAAAGCCCCAGCUAACUACGUGCCAGCAGCUGCGGUAAUACGUAGGGGGCAAGCGUUGUCCGGAAUCACUGGACGUAAAGCGCGCGCAGGCGGUGGAGUAAGUCAGACGUGAAAGGGUUCGGCUCAACCGAGCCAUUGCGUUUGAAACUGCCUCACUUGAGUCUAGAAGAGGAAAGUGGAAUGUAUGGUGUAGCGGUGGAAUGCUUAGAUAUCAUAUAGAACACCCGUGGCGAAGGCGGCUUUCUGGUCUAAGACUGACGCUCAUGCGCGAAAGUUUGGGGAGCAACCGGGAUUAGAUACCCCGCUAGUCCUUACUGUAAACGAUGGGUACUAAGUGUAGGGGGUGUUGAUUCCCUCUGUGCUGUAGCUAACGCAUUAAGUACCCCGCCUGGGGAGUACGG
This 663-nucleotide ribosomal RNA is filed under the name uncultured Actinomycetes bacterium. RNAcentral's name for it is "bacterial SSU rRNA". It matches the Rfam family "Bacterial small subunit ribosomal RNA", at positions 232 to 885 of the family's 1533-position model. The record is from RNAcentral. Lineage: Bacteria; Bacillati; Actinomycetota; Actinomycetes.